GACGAACGCUGGCGGCGUGCUUAACACAUGCAAGUCGAACGAAGAGCGAUGGAAGCUUGCUUCUAUCAAUCUUAGUGGCGAACGGGUGAGUAACGCGUAAUCAACCUGCCCUUCAGAGGGGGACAACAGUUGGAAACGACUGCUAAUACCGCAUACGAUCUAAUCUCGGCAUCGAGGAUAGAUGAAAGGUGGCCUCUACAUGUAAGCUAUCACUGAAGGAGGGGAUUGCGUCUGAUUAGCUAGUUGGAGGGGUAACGGCCCACCAAGGCGAUGAUCAGUAGCCGGUCUGAGAGGAUGAACGGCCACAUUGGGACUGAGACACGGCCCAGACGCCUACGGGAGGCAGCAGUGGGGAAUCUUCCGCAAUGGACGAAAGUCUGACGGAGCAACGCCGCGUGAGCGGUGACGGCCUUCGGGUUGUAAAGCUCUGUUAAUCGGGACGAAAGGCCUUCUUGCGAAUAGUGAGAAGGAUUGACGGUACCGGAAUAGAAAGCCACGGCUAACUACGUG
Molecule: ribosomal RNA, 510 nt
Filed under: uncultured bacterium
Lineage: Bacteria
Description: partial 16S ribosomal RNA
Rfam family: Bacterial small subunit ribosomal RNA
Source: RNAcentral